This 112-nucleotide ribosomal RNA is filed under the name Acanthosepion pharaonis. The record is from RNAcentral. Lineage: Eukaryota; Metazoa; Mollusca; Cephalopoda; Sepiida; Sepiidae.
AUGGCCACAUCAUGUUGAAACACUGGUUCUCAUAUGAUCACCAAAGUUAAGCAAUAUCAAACCUGAUCAGUACCUAUAUGGGUGACUGUUUGGGAAUACCAGGUGCUGUAAG